Small nucleolar RNA from Arvicanthis niloticus (Nile rat), 130 nucleotides. RefSeq annotates it as small nucleolar RNA SNORA70. The record is from RefSeq and is a predicted model, not a curated record. NCBI's taxonomy places the organism in Eukaryota, Metazoa, Chordata, Mammalia, Rodentia, Muridae.
GAGCAGUUAAGCCAAUAGGGUUUCUUUCCUCACCAGAGUCUAGUGUGCAAUGGCUGCAAAGAGCAGCCUCCUGGUAACUGACACAGCCUGCUGCUUGUAUGGGUUCCCCUAAGCAACUCUGAAGAGUUUU